This is a long non-coding RNA of Amphimedon queenslandica, 457 nucleotides long. RefSeq lists it as uncharacterized. The record is from RefSeq and is a predicted model, not a curated record. NCBI's taxonomy places the organism in Eukaryota, Metazoa, Porifera, Demospongiae, Haplosclerida, Niphatidae. The transcript is spliced from 3 exons.
UACUAAGAACCUGUAUGAUCUUACAAGAUGUUGUAAGACAAAAUGUCAAAUAAGAUUAUGACAAAUCUUACAAGAUCUUAUAAGAAUAACAAUGCCUGUUUAUAAUAGAAAAACUGAAUGGGUAUGGCAAUGAGCUGCCGAUUGUCAUUAUCAAUAAGAUUAAAGAUGGUACUAAUAUGAUUUCCUGAUGUAACAUCACAAAUUUGCUUGUUCCUGCAAGGUCGUACAUUAGUCAGAGGUGAUGAACCGUGAACUACUGGAAAGGUAUUAAUAAUGCAGAAGGGAUAUUCAGCAACAUAAAAGUUUACUAUUUCACCAUACUCGACAUUUAGUGUGUCAGAUAAAUAGUAACUGCAUAUUGUAUUGUUCCUUGCAUGGCCUUUUCUAUUAUAUUGCUUGCUAUGAUAUAUUGUGUUUGAAAACAUCAAUCUUUGAAAUAUGUAAACAUCUCCGCUAA